AAACCUUGCUCCCACCUGACCCACCUCCUUCCCGCAACCGACCCCCACCACCUACCCCCACGAGGCCACGACACGGCCCCCGACCACCACCACUCUUCCACCUUCUCCUUUGCGCCAACCCUCCGCCGCCGGUUCCCCCUUCCUGCGGCCCGCCGCCCCGUUACCCACCUUCUCCUCGCCGCCCAGCCACCCCAACCGACGCGCCACCAUGCCCCUGCCUUUUCUCCCCGUGCUCCCCGCCCACCUCUCUCCCUGCGCUGCCCACUUCGACAGGCACCACCGACGCCAGGAGGUCCCGCCCAGCGCCGUCGCCGGCGCCCCGCAACCUCCUUCUUCCGGCGCCCCCACUCCCACCGUCCCCACCACGUACUCCCACCGCCAAGCAACCACUGGAUCCAGUGGGAUCCGGAUCCACCUCCCCUCGUCUCCCGCUCCUCAAUCUCUCAGCCGCCGCACGGGUCCCAGCCGCCCGCCCUCCCCACGCCGCCGCGCCGGACGGCCGGAGUAGCACCGGAGGCGAGUCGCCCCUCCUCUCUCUCCUUUCCUUCUUCCUCCUCACCUCUCCCUCAUACACUUGUGCCGCAGGAGCCGUCAUGGCCAUCUGACUCAAGCUCGCCCGUCGCAGCCGCUCUGGAUCCGGCCGCCAUCAGCCAGAUCCGCUCCAGCCUGCAGUUCGCCUGGGUCGCUCGAUGAGAUGGGCGUUUUGUUGCUAUCCGGCCCCGACGACGUGCAGUACGUCAGUCGCGUUGGUGCAGCUCGCUGACGUGCGUGAAGUCCGUCGAGGGCCCUUCCUCCUUCCCUGCACGAGCACCACCGGCAAGACGUCACCAGUGCCCCCAUCCCCUUCCAUGGUGAGCUCUGGCACGACCACCCGACGAGCGGCUGCCCCCGUCCCCCACCCACAGAUCCAUCUCCUCUAGUGCUUAACAGCGAGCUCCACUGCGCGGGAUCCCCAUCACACCGGCUAGCUCUUCUCCCUUGCCCUCCUCUCCUCUCCGGCUUCAAUGUGGACAGCGACCCCCAAUUCACUUUACUGUUUUGCUAUUGUUUUCCAGAAAAUAUGUAAUUUUGCUAGAGGCUUGUUCCACAAAAAUUGUUGGGGCUUGUUUGUACAAAAAUUGUUACCUAGGUUCAGAUCAUUUUACAUGCAGUUCCCUUGGUUCCACCCCGUGCCGCCUCUGGCCACAGGGGACACGUCA
Molecule: ribosomal RNA, 1199 nt
Filed under: Triticum aestivum (bread wheat)
Lineage: Eukaryota; Viridiplantae; Streptophyta; Magnoliopsida; Poales; Poaceae
Description: partial small subunit ribosomal RNA
Source: RNAcentral